GGAAAGAUGGCUGAGCGGCUUAAAGCACUGGUCUUGAAAACCAGCGAGGUUAAAACCUUCGAAGGUUCGAAUCCUUCUCUUUCCG
RNAcentral lists this transfer RNA (85 nucleotides) under Rickettsiales bacterium (ex Bugula neritina AB1). Its description in RNAcentral is "tRNA-Ser". It matches the Rfam family "tRNA". Rfam says of the family: Transfer RNA (tRNA) molecules are approximately 80 nucleotides in length. Their secondary structure includes four short double-helical elements and three loops (D, anti-codon, and T loops). Lineage: Bacteria; Pseudomonadati; Pseudomonadota; Alphaproteobacteria; Rickettsiales. The record is from RNAcentral.